UAACUCAAGAACGCAUACGCCUAGGAUCAUGAAACUUCAUGGGUAGAUUGAUCAUGACUAUCAGAUGACCCCUAUUAAUUUUGAGGUCUCUAGGUCAAAGGUCAAGGUCAUGGUGACCCGAAAUAGUAAAAUGGUUUCCGGAUGAUAACUCAAGAACACAUACGCCUAGGAUCGUGAAACUUUAUGGGUAGAUUGAUCAUGACUCGCAGAUGACCCCUAUCAAUUUUGAGGUCACUAGGUCAAAGGUCAAGGUCACGGUGACCCGAAAUAGUAAAAUGGUUUCUGGAUGAUAACUCAAGAACGCAUACGCCUAGGAUCAUGAAACUUCAUAGGUAGAUUGAUCAUGACUUGCAGAUGACCCCUAUUGUUUUUGAGGUCACUAGGUCAAAGGUCAAGGUCACAGUGACCUGAAAUAGUAAAAUGGUUUUCGGAUGAUAACUCAAGAAUGCUUUUGCCUAGGAUCAUGAAACUUCAUAUGCCCCCUUCGAAGAAGAGGUGGUAUAUUGCUUUGCUCAUGUCGGUCGGUCGGUCGGUCGGUAGGUCGGUCGGUCCGUCCACCAGGUGGUUGUCGUAUGAUAACUCAAGAACGCAUACGCCUAGGAUCAUGAAACUUCAUAGGUAGAUUGAUCAUGACUCGCAGAUGACCCCUAUUGAUUUUGAGGUCACAAGGUCAAAGGUCAAGGUCACGGUGACCCGAAAUAGUAAAAUGAUUCGGAUGAUAACUCAAGAACGCUUUUGCCUAGGAUCAUGACACUUCAUAGGUACAUUGAUCGUGACUCGCAGAUGACCCCUAUUGAUUUUCAGGUCACUAGGUCAAAGGUCAAGGUCACAGUGACAAAAAUCGUGCUCAUACAAUGGCUGCCACUACAAUGGACAGCCCAUAUGGGGGGCAUGCAUGUUUUACAAACAGCCCUUGUCAAAACUUGGCAUGAUCUUCAAUUACACCAUGCUCUUUAAUUUCACAUGUAUAUCAUAGCAAACUUUAUAUUUCGUUGUUUUCUUUUCUAAAGUAAUGAUGUCAUGUGUACGGACGUGAUUUCACAUAUUUUUUCUCUUUUGAUUUUUUUUUUCUCUAAUUCAAUAAGCUUGGGCAUGUUUAUUCGUUAAGUACGGCAACAAUUUCAUGAUGAUUCCCGAAAGAAGGUAUGAGCACAUAAUUGUCAGAGUUCUUGAAUACGUGAGUUCGCCGAUGAACACAUGGUAAGGUUGACUAAAUCUCUGCGAUAUGACAUAAUAUGUGUUUAAAAUUGCAAACAAUAUCCAACAAACGAGUGAAUUAUCAAACAAAGUAUGUGCACUGAUUUGGCUCUGUAAUUUCUGUUUGAAAAGUUUAUUAAAUAUGCAAAAUGAGAAAGCACGCAUAAGAGCGAGUUUCAUAGAUAUUAUACGGCUAUUAUGCUGUUUAUAUACCAUACUUGCUACAACGUUUACAAAUGGCAGGUUUGAAAUAAUUCGUUUUCUUUACACUUAUGAUUGCGUUAAACGUUAAUUAUGCCCCCCCUUCGAAGAAGAGGGGGUAUAUUGCUUUGCUCAUGUCUGUCGGUCUGUCGGUCCGUCCACCAGGUGGUUGUCAGACAAUAACUCAAGAACGCUUGGGACUAGGAUCAUGAAACUUCAUAGGUACAUUGAUCAUGACUCACAGAUGACCCCUAUUCAUUUUGAGGUCACUAGGUCAAAGGUCAAGGUCACGGUGACCCGAAAUAGUAAAAUGGUUUUUGAAUGAUAACUCAAGAACGCAUACGCCUAGGAUCAUGAAACUUCAUGGGUAGAUUGAUCAUGACUCGCAGAUGACUCCUAUUGAUUUUGAGGUAACUAGGUCAAAGGUCAAGGUCACGGUGACCCGAAAUAGUAAAAUGGUUUCCGGAUGAUAACUCAAGAAUGCAUACGCCUAGGAUCAUGAUACUUCAUAGGUAGAUUGAUCAUGACUCGCAGAUGACCCCUAUUGAUUUUGAGGUCACUAGGUCAAAGGUCAAGGUCACGGUGACCCGAAAUAGUAAAAUGGUUUUCAGAUGAUAACUCAAGAACGCAUAUGCCUAGGAUCAUGAAACUUCACAGGUAGAUUGAUCAUGACUCGCAGAUGACCCCUAUUGAUUUUGAGGUCACAAGGUCAAAGGUCAAGGUCAUGGUGACCCGAAAUAGUAAAAUGAUUUUCGGAUGAUAACUCAAGAACGCUUUUGCCUAGGAUCAUGACACUUCAUAGGUACAUUGAUCAUGACUCACAGAUGACCCCUAUUGAUUUUCAGGUCACUAGGUCAAAAGUCAAGGUCACAGUGACAAAAAACGUAUUCACACAAUGGCUGCCACUACAAUGGACAGCCCAUAUGGGGGGCAUGCAUGUUUUACAAACAGCCCUUGUUAAAUAUUGUCUUCAUUGUAAGAAGACAUUAAAGCAGCACUUUAUAAUAUAAAAAUGCUGUAAAACAUGCACUUAAAAACAAUUUUAAUUCUGUUACUUAUAAUCAUAUUUAUAAUGCUUAAUGUUUCCCAAUUUCAUGGUUUAUCGCUCUAUUUUUUCCAAUUUCAUGGUUUAUCGCGCCAUUUUUCCCAAACCAAAUGGCAAAGGCAGUCUUGGCAUUAAUUUGUUUAAGGCACUAGCCCGGUUGGGCUACCAGCUUUGAAAUUUCACUAGCCUGAAUCAAUUUUAACUAGCCCGAAUUAAAAGUUACAAUUCUGUUACAUUUAUAACUACAUGUAUGUUUGUAUUGAAGAAACAUAGAACAAUACAGAUUAAACAAAUACA
Long non-coding RNA from Dreissena polymorpha, 2740 nucleotides. RefSeq lists it as uncharacterized. The record is from RefSeq and is a predicted model, not a curated record. The transcript has 2 exons. Lineage: Eukaryota; Metazoa; Mollusca; Bivalvia; Myida; Dreissenidae.